Molecule: long non-coding RNA, 1031 nt
Filed under: Malus domestica (apple)
Lineage: Eukaryota; Viridiplantae; Streptophyta; Magnoliopsida; Rosales; Rosaceae
Description: long non-coding RNA (MDOM_LNC004640)
Source: RNAcentral
AGUCUCAUCCAUAGGAUUUAGAGAUUUGGUACCCAUUACAAAUAGAAAUGAGAAAAUAAGAUAAAUUUAAAAUUUUAGAGAGGAAUGAGAUUUUUUCAGAAUACUGGAUUUGAGUAAGCUGAAAAAUGGAGGAAUAAAGGGUGUUUAUUAAAUAGAUGUGUAGAUGAAUCCAACGGUAGGGGAUUGGAGCAAAGAUUACGUUGGUAUUUUUUAUCAUGACGGUGAUCCUUUCCAUGUUCUUCCACAUGCAUGACAUUCAGGUAACUUUUCAUCAUCACCUUCUUCAGCAUAGAGGAAUUACUCAAGUACACCAUGUGGAGCUAAAAAUAAUCAAGAGGCGACACGUGGAUUUUUGGGUAAAAAUGACAAAAUUACCCUCAAGGCACACCGGAAUUCUUACACACGAGCAAUGGACAAUUAUCCCUCAAUCAAGUCAAAAAUGCCCAAAUAGGUAUUUAUUUAUAACCUAUUUCAUCCAUCCCUCGUCAUAUCUUCUCCGCAAGGUAACCCCUAAAUCAUUCAUUUUUUAUUAUAUUAAUUAGCUAAUUAAUUGAUUAAUUAUUCAAUUAAUUUGCUAAUUAAACACAAAUCAUGAACUUCACCCACAAAACCACAAUUGGCUUCGACUCUUUCUUUUUCUCAAACUUACUCCUCUGAUUUUUACCACCAAUACUACUCCUUAGACCUCCAUAACUGAAGGUGCAUCUCCUUCCCUUAACUAGCCAUGUGGCCUUGGCACCGUCAUCUUCUGGUUUUGGACUCCACCAUAGGCAUGUCUUUGCUGCUUCUAUUUUUCAUGAAGUACUUGGGGGCCCCAUGCAAAGUGGUGAAAUGGUAGAGUUUGGAUAAUGAAAAAAGGGGUAUUGAAGCAAAUAGUUGUGGCAGUUUGAUGGAAGUUCAUCAGAAACGUUUGAUCACACUAAACCCUAAUACAUAAUUAAGUCAAAGAUCUAAUUAAGCCUUUACGCGGCGGAACUUUUUCAAGUUCGUCGGGCAAGAUUACACUAGCUUCACGCCAUUUUUCGCCCUUG